RNAcentral lists this transfer RNA (98 nucleotides) under Coniochaeta ligniaria NRRL 30616. RNAcentral's name for it is "tRNA-Gly". The record is from RNAcentral. Lineage: Eukaryota; Fungi; Ascomycota; Sordariomycetes; Coniochaetales; Coniochaetaceae.
GCGCCAGUGGUUUAGUGGUAAAAUCCAUCGUUGCCAUCAACGAGUCUCAGCAACUCCUCGAUCUCGAUGGGCCCCGCGUUCGAUUCGCGGCUGGCGCA